AGAGUUUGAUCCUGGCUCAGAACGAACGCUGGCGGCGUGGAUAAGACAUGCAAGUCGAACGCUAAUUUCAGGGUAGCAAUAUUCUGAGGUUGGAGUGGCGCAAGGGUGCGUAACACGUGGGUAAUUUGCCGUGAAGUUGGGGAUAACUCGCUGAAAGGCGAGCUAAUACCGAAUACGAUCAUUGGGAGGCAUCUUUUGAUGAUCAAAGUUGGGGACCGCAAGGCCUGACGCUUCACGAUAAGCCCGCGGCCUAUCAGCUAGUUGGUGAGGUAACGGCUCACCAAGGCUAAGACGGGUAGCUGGUCUGAGAGGACGACCAGUCACACUGGAACUGAGACACGGUCCAGACACCUACGGGUGGCAGCAGUCGAGAAUUUUUCUCAAUGGGCGAAAGCCUGAAGGAGCGACGCCGCGUGGGGGAUGAAGGGCUUCGGCUCGUAAACCCCUGUCAUUUGCGAACAAACCUUACGGUUGAACAAACCGUGAGCUGAUUGUAGCGAAAGAGGAAGGGACGGCUAACUCUGUGCCAGCAGCCGCGGUAAUACAGAGGUCCCAAGCGUUGUUCGGAUUCACUGGGCGUAAAGGGUGCGUAGGUGGCAGGGUAAGUUUGAUGUGAAAUCUCCGGGCUUAACCCGGAAACUGCAUUGAAUACUAUCCCGCUUGAGGGUUGGAGGGGGGACUGGAAUACUUGGUGUAGCAGUGAAAUGCGUAGAUAUCAAGUGGAACACCAGUGGCGAAGGCGAGUCCCUGGACAACUCCUGACACUGAGGCACGAAAGCUAGGGGAGCAAACAGGAUUAGAUACCCUAGUAGUCC
RNAcentral lists this ribosomal RNA (815 nucleotides) under uncultured bacterium. Its description in RNAcentral is "bacterial SSU rRNA". It matches the Rfam family "Bacterial small subunit ribosomal RNA", at positions 8 to 796 of the family's 1533-position model. The record is from RNAcentral.